This 1274-nucleotide ribosomal RNA is filed under the name metagenome. RNAcentral's name for it is "bacterial SSU rRNA". It matches the Rfam family "Bacterial small subunit ribosomal RNA", at positions 233 to 1498 of the family's 1533-position model. The record is from RNAcentral.
GCGGCCUAUCAGCUAGUUGGUGAGGUAACGGCUCACCAAGGCUACGACGGGUAGCCGGUCUCAGAGGACGACCAGCCACACUGGAACUGAGACACGGUCCAGACACCUACGGGUGGCAGCAGUCGAGAAUCUUUCACAAUGGGGGCAACCCUGAUGGAGCGACGCCGCGUGGAGGAUUAAGGUCUUCGGAUUGUAAACUCCUGUCAUGUGAGAGCAAGGCUCUGCGUUAACUGCGCAAAGUUUGAUAGUAUCACAAGAGGAAGAGACGGCUACUCUGUGCCAGCAGCCGCGGUAAUACAGAGGUCUCAAGCGUUGUUCGGAAUCACUGGGCGUAAAGGGUGCGUAGGCGGCAUGGAAAGUCAGAUGUGAAAUCCGAGAGCUCAACUUUCGAAUUGCAUCCGAUACUCCCGUGCUAGAGAACUGAAGGGGAGCUUGGAAUUCUCGGUGUAGCAGUGAAAUGCGUAGAUAUCGAGAGGAACACUAGUGGCGAAGGCGAAGCUCUGGGCAGUAUCUGACGCUGAGGCACGAAGGCCAGGGGAGCGAACGGGAUUAGAUACCCCGGUAGUCCUGGCAGUAAACGGUGCGCGUUUGGUGUGGAGGUGUUCGACCCCCUCUGUGCCGUAGUUAACACGUUAAACGCGCCGCCUGGGAAGUACGGUCGCAAGAUUAAAACUCAAAGAAAUUGACGGGGACCCGCACAAGCGGUGGAGUAUGUGGCUUAAUUCGAUGCAACGCGAAGAACCUUACCUGGACUCGACAUGCACUGUGUCUUGAAUGAAAGUUCAAUAGUGUAGCAAUACACGCUUUGCACAGGUGCUGCAUGGCUGUCGUCAGCUCGUGUCGUGAGAUGUUGGGUUAAGUCCCGCAACGAGCGCAACCCUUGUAGUCUGUUGCCAGCAGAGAAAUCUGCGCACUCAAACUAGACUGCCCAGAUCAACUGGGAGGAAGGUGAGGAUGACGUCAAGUCCGUAUGGCCCUUACGUCCAGGGCUGCACACGUACUACAAUGCCCAGCACAAUGUGACCCGAUGCCGUGAGGUGGAGGAAAUCAACAAAGCUGGGCUCAGUUCAGAUUGAAGGCUGCAACUCGCCUUCAUGAAGUUGGAAUCGCUAGUAAUGGCACAUCAGCUACGGUGCCGUGAAUACGUUCCCGGGUCUUGUACACACCGCCCGUCACAUCAUGGAAGCUGGUUUCGCCCGAAACGCCCAAGCCAACCGCAAGGAAGCAAGGUUCUAAGGCAAGACUGGUAACUGGGAUGAAGUCGUAACAAGGUA